UACGGAAGGCAGCAGUGGGGGAUAUUGCACAAUGGGCGCAAGCCUGAUGCAGCCAUGCCGCGUGUAUGAAGAAGGCCUUCGGGUUGUAAAGUACUUUCAGUCGUGAGGAAGGUGUUAAGGUUAAUAACCUUAGCAAUUGACGUUAGCGACAGAAGAAGCACCGGCUAACUCCGUGCCAGCAGCCGCGGUAAUACGGAGGGUGCGAGCGUUAAUCGGAAUUACUGGGCGUAAAGGGCACGCAGGCGGUUAAUUAAGUUGGAUGUGAAAUCCCCGGGCUUAACCUGGGAAUGGCAUUCAAGACUGGUUAGCUAGAGUCUUGUAGAGGGGGUAGAAUUCCAUGUGUAGCGGUGAAAUGCGUAGAGAUGUGGAGGAAUACCGGUGGCGAAGGCGGCCCCUGGACAAAGACUGACGCUCAUGUGCGAAAGCGUGGGGAGCAAAC
This 439-nucleotide ribosomal RNA is filed under the name uncultured bacterium. RNAcentral describes it as "bacterial SSU rRNA". It matches the Rfam family "Bacterial small subunit ribosomal RNA", at positions 340 to 773 of the family's 1533-position model. The record is from RNAcentral.